Long non-coding RNA from Silurus meridionalis, 872 nucleotides. RefSeq lists it as uncharacterized. The transcript is spliced from 3 exons. The record is from RefSeq and is a predicted model, not a curated record. Lineage: Eukaryota; Metazoa; Chordata; Actinopteri; Siluriformes; Siluridae.
AAGUUUGUUACUUUAGUUUGUUUAAUUUGUUUAUUUAGAGGGAUUUAUUUUGAUUGUAUGGGAAAAUUGUUUUUGUUUAUUUAGAUGCAGAUAAAUUGAACAAUGCUGACUGUGUAUGUUGACAGCUGCUGGUGUAGAUCUGGAUAAAUGCUUGAACAUCAACUGAUUUGUUAUACGCUAUCUGCCAAUGAAGAUUUGUCAAUUGGUGUUUCUCCCGUGUUGUUUUUGUUUGGUCACCUGGUUGGCCGGUCUCAGGAGUGUGCUGCAUAGUGGCAGCAUGUGUAUCGUGUGAAUUGUAUAUGAGUCCGGUUGGCCGGGGCUUUGUUUUGUUUUAUUUUGAUUGACACCUUCCCAGACUUAUGUCGCUAGCUUAACUCAUGGUGCUUGUCUUUUGUUUGCGCAUCCCUUUGUGUAUGGGAUUUAAUUUUGCUGUGUUUCUUUGGAGUUAUGAGUGAGGGAUUUAUGUUUUGAGUUGUGUAUUAUUUGAAUUGUGGUUAUUUCUGAGUGUUUAAUGUAAGAGGGCUGUCCCCCUAUGCCUAAAGGUUUGCCACACGCAACAAAAGCAGUUAUCAUAGCAAGAGAUUUGAGCUGGCUGUUAACCUCUUUGAGAGCUGGGACUAAUUUUGGAUGAGCUACUUGUAUUAAUUAUUUUAUGUUUUGGUGUUUGAUUGUGUAUAUUAUUUGCUGCCCUAUUUUGCAAUACAUUUUUGUACCUUGAGCCAUCUGAAGGGUUUUGUUUUUAGGCCCGUAAAUUUUUUUUAUUUAUUUUUUUCUCCUUCAAAUUUGUUUUGAAGUGGUGGCGUAGUGCUACACUGUUUCCACGUGGCUGGUUAACGAGGUGAUGUUAAUAAAAUUUGUGCCGUUAAAAUCAA